RNAcentral lists this ribosomal RNA (491 nucleotides) under uncultured bacterium. Its description in RNAcentral is "partial 16S ribosomal RNA". It matches the Rfam family "Bacterial small subunit ribosomal RNA", at positions 29 to 506 of the family's 1533-position model. The record is from RNAcentral.
AGUGAACGCUGGCGGUAGGCCUAACACAUGCAAGUCGAACGGCAGCACAGUAAGAGCUUGCUCUUACGGGUGGCGAGUGGCGGACGGGUGAGGAAUACAUCGGAAUCUACUUUUUCGUGGGGGAUAGCGUAGGGAAACUUACGCUAAUACCGCAUACGACCUACGGGUGAAAGCAGGGGAUCUUCGGACCUUGCGCGAUUGAAUGAGCCGAUGUCGGAUUAGCUAGUUGGCGGGGUAAAGGCCCACCAAGGCGACGAUCCGUAGCUGGUCUGAGAGGAUGAUCAGCCACACUGGAACUGAGACACGGUCCAGACUCCUACGGGAGGCAGCAGUGGGGAAUAUUGGACAAUGGGCGCAAGCCUGAUCCAGCCAUACCGCGUGGGUGAAGAAGGCCUUCGGGUUGUAAAGCCCUUUUGUUGGGAAAGAAAAGCAGCAGGUUAAUACCCCGCUGUUCUGACGGUACCCAAAGAAUAAGCACCGGCUAACUUCGU